RNAcentral lists this ribosomal RNA (427 nucleotides) under uncultured bacterium. Its description in RNAcentral is "bacterial SSU rRNA". It matches the Rfam family "Bacterial small subunit ribosomal RNA", at positions 917 to 1345 of the family's 1533-position model. The record is from RNAcentral.
GGGCCCGCACAAGCGGUGGAGUAUGUGGUUUAAUUCGAUGCAACGCGAAGAACCUUACCAGGGUUUGACAUCCUGCGAAUCUCUUGGAAACAGGAGAGUGCCUUCGGGAACGCAGUGACAGGUGGUGCAUGGCUGUCGUCAGCUCGUGUCGUGAGAUGUCGGGUUAAGUCCCUUAACGAGCGAAACCCUUAUCUCUAGUUGCCAGCAUUUAGUUGGGCACUCUAGAGAGACCGCCGGUGAUAAACCGGAGGAAGGUGUGGAUGACGUCAAGUCAUCAUGCCCCUUACAUCCUGGGCUACACACGUACUACAAUGCUACGGACAAAGAGCAGCAAGUUCGCGAGGACAAGCAAAUCUCAUAAACCGUGGCUCAGUUCAGAUCGUAGGCUGCAACUCGCCUACGUGAAGGAGGAAUCGCUAGUAAUCGC